CGUAACAGGUGUGCAAUCUGUCCUAUACCGGGGCAUAGCCCAGCGAAAGUUGGAUUUAAUUCUCCAUGUGAAGCGAUACCGCAUGAUAUUGCUUUAGAAACGUAAGGGUAGUAGGGUGAGCACGCUUCUGAUUAGAUAGUUGGUGGGGUAACGGCUCACCAAGUCGACGAUCAGUAGGGGUUCUGAGAGGAAGGUCCCCCACAUUGGAACUGAGACACGGUCCAAACUCCUACGGGAGGCAGCAGUGAGGAAUAUUGGUCAAUGGGCGAGAGCCUGAACCAGCCAAGUCGCGUGAAGGAUGAAGGUUCUAUGGAUUGUAAACUUCUUUUGUCCGAGGGUAAAAAAGGUCACGUGUGACUUCUUGCAAGUAUCGGACGAAUAAGCAUCGGCUAACUCCGUGCCAGCCGCCGC
This 411-nucleotide ribosomal RNA is filed under the name uncultured bacterium. RNAcentral's name for it is "bacterial SSU rRNA". It matches the Rfam family "Bacterial small subunit ribosomal RNA", at positions 109 to 518 of the family's 1533-position model. The record is from RNAcentral.